UACGUAGGGUGCAAGCGUUGUCCGGAAUUAUUGGGCGUAAAGAGCUCGUAGGCGGUUUGUCGCGUCGAAUGUGAAAACCCGGGGCUCAACCCCGGGACUGCAUUCGAUACGGGCAGACUAGAGUUCGGUAGGGGAGUCUGGAAUUCCUGGUGUAGCGGUGAAAUGCGCAGAUAUCAGGAGGAACACCGAUGGCGAAGGCAGGUCUCUGGGCCAUAACUGACGCUGAGAAGCGAAAGCAUGGGGAGCGAACAGG
RNAcentral lists this ribosomal RNA (253 nucleotides) under uncultured bacterium. Its description in RNAcentral is "partial 16S ribosomal RNA". It matches the Rfam family "Bacterial small subunit ribosomal RNA", at positions 524 to 776 of the family's 1533-position model. The record is from RNAcentral.